AGACUCCUACGGGAGGCAGCAGUAGGGAAUCUUCGGCAAUGGACGAAAGUCUGACCGAGCAACGCCGCGUGAGUGAAGAAGGUUUUCGGAUCGUAAAACUCUGUUGUUAGAGAAGAACAAGGACGUUAGUAACUGAACGUCCCCUGACGGUAUCUAACCAGAAAGCCACGGCUAACUACGUGCCAGCAGCCGCGGUAAUACGUAGGUGGCAAGCGUUGUCCGGAUUUAUUGGGCGUAAAGCGAGCGCAGGCGGUUUCUUAAGUCUGAUGUGAAAGCCCCCGGCUCAACCGGGGAGGGUCAUUGGAAACUGGGAGACUUGAGUGCAGAAGAGGAGAGUGGAAUUCCAUGUGUAGCGGUGAAAUGCGUAGAUAUAUGGAGGAACACCAGUGGCGAAGGCGGCUCUCUGGUCUGUAACUGACGCUGAGGCUCGAAAGCGUGGG
This 440-nucleotide ribosomal RNA is filed under the name uncultured bacterium. Its description in RNAcentral is "bacterial SSU rRNA". It matches the Rfam family "Bacterial small subunit ribosomal RNA", at positions 333 to 765 of the family's 1533-position model. The record is from RNAcentral.